RNAcentral lists this ribosomal RNA (468 nucleotides) under uncultured bacterium. Its description in RNAcentral is "bacterial SSU rRNA". It matches the Rfam family "Bacterial small subunit ribosomal RNA", at positions 328 to 794 of the family's 1533-position model. The record is from RNAcentral.
GCGCCAGACUCCUACGGGAGGCAGCAGUGAGGAAUAUUGGUCAAUGGUCGGGAGACUGAACCAGCCAAGCCGCGUGAGGGAUGAAGGUACAGAGUAUCGUAAACCUCUUUUGUCAGGGAACAAAGGCGGGGACGUGUCCCCGGAUGAGUGUACCUGAAGAAAAAGCAUCGGCUAACUCCGUGCCAGCAGCCGCGGUAAUACGGAGGAUGCGAGCGUUAUCCGGAUUUAUUGGGUUUAAAGGGUGCGUAGGCGGUCCGUUAAGUCAGCGGUAAAAUUGCGGGGCUCAACCCCGUCGAGCCGUUGAAACUGACGGUCUUGAGUGGGCGAGAAGUAUGCGGAAUGCGUGGUGUAGCGGUGAAAUGCAUAGAUAUCACGCAGAACUCCGAUUGCGAAGGCAGCAUACCGGCGCCCAACUGACGCUGAAGCACGAAAGCGUGGGGAUCGAACAGGAUUAGAUACCCUUGUAUA